CCACCAGUUGAUUUAAAAGAAAAAAGGUUUUCACCGGAGUAGCCCUUUAAGCGAUUGGUGGUUGUGCAACUUCUAAAAUCACCUUUUUUCUCAGCUGAGGUGCUCAAGUGCCACAGCCUCCCGUUUGCCUGCCCUCACCUUCCAACCCCUUCUUGUUUGAUGCUUACAAUUAAGGAAGUGUGGGAAGGUGAGGGUGAGCAAGGAGCCGUGACAGACUGUGGCACUCAUACAGCAUUUUAAUAAGUUUGGUAACUACCAUAGUUAUUAUAGAGAGACCGAUGGUUGGAGGGUGAAUAUACGACAAAAACUAAUAGACCACCAAGGAUGGUCCAAAAAUAGCCAGGAGCAUCUAGUACCAUUGAUUCCUAGACAGUUGUAAGCUCUAAGUCCUUGCGCAUCGGGUUGCUGCGCAGCCUCCGUGCGCAGGCGCAGUGAUUGUGAACAGUAUUAGAAUGAUAAACACAUCGCACAGCCGUUAGUGCGCAGUGUAGUGUGCGCAUACGGACCGCACGCAUAUACACAUGCGCAUAGCUCCCCCGGGGCUACGAUAACAUCCAAGAUCUCGUGCAGCACCAUGUGCGCAAUGUUUACAUAUGACGUACGCAUCGGAUAUCCGCCUCUCUCGCGUAUCGGGUCUGCACAAGUGGCAGUUCCCGAUAGGCUGUGAGAAUCUACUCACAUCAUUUGUUUAUGGAAGUGCUAAUAAUAUAUCAUACUAUUAAGAUUGGAUAGAGAAAAUUUGAGGCUGCAGGAAGGGAUCCAGGAUUGGACAGGCUAGACAUGACAUCAUUGUAAAAGGUGAUAAAUACACAGGUCGGCGUUUUUGGAUGCCAUUGCCCACAUGCCUCUUGACAAAGCCACUUAAGUGGUGAAACGUUGAGGGGGGCAUUGUCCACUGGUUUUUAAACUGCUGUGUGCUCUAACCUAUGCUAGUGGAUCAGGAGCAUAGCUAUUCAAAUGCUCCCCACAAAGUGAACAUGUUUAAAGGAGCCCUUAGAGCCCUUAUCAUUUGAAAACAGAUGCACACAGCGCUUUUAAAUGUGUUUUUCAUCUUAUGAUUUUUGACACUAAGUGCACAGUUAUUGAUAUUAUUUUUUCAAGUGGACCCUAUUUAAUAAAGUCCUUUUAAUUGAUGAUUGGGACCCUAGGGUAUUUUUGGACCACCCUUGGUGGUCUAUUAGUUUUUGGCAACUACCAUAUGCACCAAGAUAGAUGCUGUUUAUUUUAAUACAAUAACACCUAUCCCACCGUGUCUGACAGAUUCCCUGUUUUUUGGUGUAAAAAUUGUGCCGAUUCAUGUUUGUAUAACAUACACACUCCAUCCCAUCACAGUUCAGGGCUUUACUGAGGGGAAAGCUACUUUUUUACUUUUAUGUAAAUAAAACUUAAAGGGGUAGUCCUUUUGGACAAUCUUUUGCUGCAGCACAUUUCUUCUGUGGCGGUUACAUGAAAGGGGUCCUUCUUCCCUAAUAGGAAACAUGAACAAGUGUUCUUCAAAUGAGAAAAUCACCUUUUAUCAUUGCAUAUUGAAACAUCAUGUAUCUGUGCAGUAUGUGUAGUAUAAAGGCUAAACACCUAUUCUGAAAAUAUGCUACUCAACCAGCUGUAUGGUUAGUAACAUGAAAAAUCUUUAAAGGAGUAGUCCAGUGGUGACUCAGGGAUAAGUUUUUCACCACUGGACUACCCCUUUAAUAAGCCCUUUCUAAUAUGACCUAGGGAAAUAAUUGAAAUCAUUUAAAAAGCAAAGUGCAACUUUAGAGUCUUAAAUAGUUAUGUCUGUUAUUAAAUUCCUCUGGCAAUAUCAGAUGGUUGUUAGGGUUAAGCAUGUCAGGCCAAUGUGGACUAUAACAUGCUGUUGUCAAUCAUACAAUCUUAAUGUCAAGUUUACAAUCUCUGAAACAGAAAUGUUUUCAUUCACUGAUAAAGUUUCCUUUUAAAUGCCAAGAAAUUAGUAUACAGGAAAGUUGCAGAGUAUUUCAUGAUACAACAGAUAAGCUUCAUUUACAUUAAAAAAAAAACCACAAACCAUUUUUAAAAAGGAAUGCCUGCCCUUCUGCUCCACGGUAGGUUUCUGUCCUCCCUGAGCUCGCCUUAGGGGUUUUAGGGAUAUUUAGUAUUUAUGAAUGUAAAAGAGCAAGUAAAAUUUCAGUUUUGUAAAAUCUUAAAUAUAACACGUUUGUUAUUUUGUUAUGCAUAUAUUUGUGUUAUUUUUACAGUACAUUUACAAUUUUUGCAGUAUUACUAUUAUCGGCAAAGUUCAGCAGCUCACCAGUAGUGUUAUAUAUAACUUAUGAAGUAUAAGCAUAACAAUAUGAAUACAAUCUGAAUACAUGUGUAAUAUAAAUCAUGCCACAAUAGCUAUUUUUUUAAAUAAAUUUACCUGGUAAGGUUUUACAGCAACAUUAUAUUGAUAGAGUGAACAAAGCAAUAAAACUGUAAUUCUUUGUGAAUUCCAUAACUAGAAUGAAAUGACAUGUUUUUCACAAUUGUACUGCUAUAUGUAUUAUUUAACUAUACUUCAGAAUAAAAAAUAAAACCUC
Long non-coding RNA from Hyla sarda, 2540 nucleotides. RefSeq lists it as uncharacterized. The transcript is spliced from 2 exons. NCBI's taxonomy places the organism in Eukaryota, Metazoa, Chordata, Amphibia, Anura, Hylidae. The record is from RefSeq and is a predicted model, not a curated record.